GUCGAACACACAUCCUCAUGGAUACUGAUCGGCUUCUUAACCGGUUGAGCCACACAGGAAGUCCUGGACUUUUUUAACGUGACAAGCUUCGCUAUACACACUUCGGCUAAAGCCGUGCUUGCUGGGCAAGUGCUGCCCACACCACUACUUACCCUCCCCUGGAGUGUUUCUCCACGAAAGGAGACACGCAAGAGCAAAACAGACACGAGGCCUGGACAGGAAGAGGCCCGUGAGUGCCCACGCAAGACGCUGGCAAAAGUCUGUACCUACCUGGUUCCUUCUGUCCCCAACAGGAAGGAAAAACUAGGACCCAGAAGCCAACAGCUUUAACUUCCACUGACCACAUCCAGGUAGAAGACAUAGUGGCAAGACCUCUGACUCCAGCUGCUGGUCAGCACAGAGCAGGGCCGGAACAUGUGCCUCAGCAGCCAGAACAGGCCCCUUAGGCGACCCAAGGCCACCUGGAGCAGAAAGCGGGUGACCAAGACUGCAUGGUGACAAAGAGAACGGAAGACAGGACGUUUCUGGAAAAGCAGCGUACGGGAGGGUAGUACCUGUACCAGAGUAAAGCCCAGAACCAUCACCACACAGAGGACGCUGGCACAGAGAGACAGACCAACAGGUCAGGACCGAAAAUCCGGGAACACACCCAAGUGAGCAUGAAAGUUCAGAAUGGAUAAAAACUGCCACUCCAGGCGCUGCAGGGAAACUCUUAACAACGGUUCUGAUGACACAGGUGACAGGCACAGGUGAGUGGGUGGAACUGGACCUCCAGGUCUGCACAUUCACUACAGAUUCUAAACUCGUCCGGAACGGAAACACAAGGACAUCUUCAUAAGCCCCAGAGGAAACAAGAGGAAGCUUCUUACACCCCCAGACUAAAAAGAAACCUCCCUGACAACCCAAACCCCCCAAGAUUAAUAAGUCUGACCACAACCAGAAUGAAACUUUCACACAGCAAAACACACUGAGAUCAAAACACAAACAGCACACGGAGAAACAUUACCCAGAACACACGUCACUGACGAAGGAGCCCUAACACCUCGAGCUCGGAGGGGGCUUUAACCGGACCGCAAAGAGCCGGAGAAAGGACAGCGCAGAGAAAAUCCCCUCCGACACUGAAAGCAGGCUCAACCUUCUCAUCAGAAAAAUGCCAAGUCAAAGUCUCCGUAGCUACUUCUCGGAGUGAAAAACCCAAGCAACUGUUACCCUCUGACCAGACGUUUCAUGUCUAGGAAAUCUAUCCAACGCACACUGGGGAAGAGAGGAAACAGCCGAAACACAAGGUGUGAGCUGGGACAGAAUGUCUGACAGCAAAAGCCUGGAAGCCACCCGGGCGCCCUUCAGGAGGAAGGCCUGACUAGUGAGCACACACCCGCGCAGCCCCGAGGGGAGCUACCACCUGCGUCCAUGCAGACAGCGCCAGACUCUGCAGGGAGAAACCAGCCAGAACCGAGCUGACAGCAAGUGACCUGGUGCUGAGGCUGCUUUUCUGUGCCCACGGCAGGCGGAAGCUCCCAGGCCAGGGACAGAACCUGUGCCACAGCAGUGACACAAACGUUGAGCCCACUAAGCUACCGGACGUCCUUUUGUUCUAUUCUCAAUCCGAACAACGGAUGAAGGCACCGAAGUCGAAGCAAGACGACCUAGCAGUGGAGGACAGGACGAGGGGGUCUCUGAACAGAGCGGACGUGGCUCUGACUUUGCAAACAUGAAAUGUUGAAGUACUUUUACAAAAUCUAAGACACUAAAAACAAAUGAACCCAACUCCACAUCAAGAUGACAGUAUAGGAGUUCCCGUCGUGGCACAGUGGUUAACGAAUCCGACUAGGAACCAUGAGGUUGCGGGUUCGGUCCCUGCCCUUGCUCAGUGGGUUAACGAUCCAGUGUUGCCGUGAGCUGUGGUGUAGGCUGCAGACGCGCCUCGGAUCCCACGUUGCUGUGGCUCUGGCGUAGGCCAGUGGCUACAGCUCCGACUCGACCCCUAGCCUGGGAACCUCCAUAUGCCCGGCCCAAGAAAUGGCAAAAAGACAAAAAACAACAACAACAAGAACAACAAAACAGCUAACAAACACAUCGGAAGAUCACAGAGACACUAAAAAGGUCCAUGGAUCGCUAGUAAAGACGCCAGAGCUCCAAUGCGGUCCACAAACUCAAGAGACGAGGAUCAGUUACCGACCCCGCACUUCCCACCCGAACGCAUUCCGGUCCUUCACAAGCACGCCACCGACUCAGGCGGGAGAGGCGGGAACGCCCUCUCUCGCCGCCUCCGGCGGACUCCGGCAGCGAGCGGAAAGGGCUGGCACAACCAGCAAGCAAGAGGUGGGCCAGGAGCUUCAUGGGGACGGACCUGGCUGAGGACCCCGGGCUCUACUGGUCCACCUCGGAGUCGGAGCCGAGCACCAAGCACCACCGGCAUAUUUUCCUGCCACUCACACAAGGUGAACGUGGACGGAACCCGGAGCUUAGCGCCGUCUGAUGGAUGGGGAACCAACCUACACCUGCCUGGUCCCCCAAAACACAUCAACGGCAGUAAGAAGGGGGCCCUGCUGAGGAGUGAACGCGCAGGCGGGUCUCACCGGGCCCGGAGGCAGCUCCACUGGGAAGGCCUGGCGCAGACGGGCUUGGGCGCGGGGAGGCUAACACACUCCCACUAGCCUUCCUUAGGCCGUGACCACCACAGAGGUUACGUUUAAUUCAAGCGGGGCCACAAGGGAACAGUUACGCAGAGGGACUAAGGUGUCUGGGGCUUGCUUUAAAGUAAUGGGGCGGGGCAGGGGGACUAGAAGGGGACAAAGGCCUCGGAUCUGUUCUCUCCCCGCCCGGGGCUCAAUCACAAAACAGUCAAACAUCCACUGACUAGAAGACAGCAGCAAAGGUCUGAGCGCGUCCUGCACAAGAGCUGGGCCGUGAGACCCCUUGGACACACCUCGCCUUCCCACCCUUAGACUACGGCCGC
Molecule: long non-coding RNA, 2959 nt
Filed under: Sus scrofa (pig)
Lineage: Eukaryota; Metazoa; Chordata; Mammalia; Artiodactyla; Suidae
Description: lncRNA (ENSSSCG00030019373.1)
Source: RNAcentral